RNAcentral lists this ribosomal RNA (441 nucleotides) under uncultured bacterium. Its description in RNAcentral is "bacterial SSU rRNA". It matches the Rfam family "Bacterial small subunit ribosomal RNA", at positions 958 to 1398 of the family's 1533-position model. The record is from RNAcentral.
AACGCGAAGAACCUUACCUACCCUUGACAUCCUGCGAAUUUAGAAGAGAUUCUGAAGUGCCGAAAGGAACGCAGAGACAGGUGCUGCAUGGCUGUCGUCAGCUCGUGUUGUGAGAUGUUGGGUUAAGUCCCGUAACGAGCGCAACCCUUGUCCUUAGUUGCCAUCAUUAAGUUGGGGACUCUAAGGAGACUGCCGGUGAGGAACCGGAGGAAGGCGGGGACGACGUCAAGUCAUCAUGGCCUUUAUGGGUAGGGCUACACACGUGCUACAAUGGGGCGUACAGAGGGUAGCCAACUCGCAAGAGGGAGCCAAUCUCAAAAAAGCGUCUCGUAGUCCGGAUUGGAGUCUGCAACUCGACUCCAUGAAGUUGGAAUCGCUAGUAAUCGCGAAUCAGCAUUGUCGCGGUGAAUACGUUCCCGGGCCUUGUACACACCGGAGUGC